GCGCGCUGGCGGACCGGCGGGAGACUCGUGAAGACGAAGAGCUCUACGAAUACUUUAAAUAGGAGACCCUCGGGAGACAGGCGGCCAUAAACAAGACCGUUUUAAACAUUUUCAGAUGGUAUGAAGCUGAGGAGUCUGCACAGGCCUAGAAAUAUCAUUUUAUCCUGAUCUAUCUAAAGUGUUUUUGUCUAUUUUUGUUUAAUAUUUUGUUUUACCCAAUAAAAAAUGUGAU
Long non-coding RNA from Onychostoma macrolepis, 232 nucleotides. RefSeq lists it as uncharacterized. NCBI's taxonomy places the organism in Eukaryota, Metazoa, Chordata, Actinopteri, Cypriniformes, Cyprinidae. The record is from RefSeq and is a predicted model, not a curated record. The transcript is spliced from 3 exons.